This is a non-coding RNA of Pelobates cultripes (western spadefoot toad), 485 nucleotides long. The record is from the annotation of a GenBank genome assembly. NCBI's taxonomy places the organism in Eukaryota, Metazoa, Chordata, Amphibia, Anura, Pelobatidae.
AAUCAAGGUUCAAGUUUAGGAACAAAGUUUUAUUGGGAAUGUAUAUGCAAAUGUUAGUGUUUUAACAUUCAUCCUAACAAGCAUUUCUAUAGAGUGAGUGCUUCUCUCAUCCAUACAAAGGCAUUCCAAAGGGAUAUUAUGUAAAACUUCAUAGAAGACAGAUUGCAUAAAAUAUAAGCAAAUGUAAGAGAAGUACAUGUUACACAAAUUAAGGGUUUAACCUUAAUCUCUAAUUUAAGUUUUAGCCUAGGUAAUUAAUUAAUGUUGUAUUGAUCCUUGUGUUUGUAUGAUUGUAGAGACCGUCCUGGAGUGUUUGUGCCGCCUGAUUUCUGGGACUACACACCAAUCUCUCUGGCUGACCAUGCAAUAAGUAUUUUGCAAUUACAUCUGUUUGGUCAUAAUCCAUGCAGGCCGAAGAAACUGAGAUACUUAUGAGGACAUAAACUUUGCACGCAAGAACCUGGAAAGUCCUGAAGGUGCAGUGC